CACACCCUACGGGAGGCAGCAGUGGGGAAUAUUGGGCACUGGACGCACGUCUGACCCAGCAACGCCGCGUGAAGGAAGAAGGCUUUCGGGUUGUAAACUUCUUUUAAGGGGGAAGAGCAGAAGACGGUACCCCUUGAAUAAGCCACGGCUAACUACGUGCCAGCAGCCGCGGUAAUACGUAGGUGGCAAGCGUUGUCCGGAUUUACUGGGUGUAAAGGGCGUGCAGCCGGAGAGACAAGUCAGAUGUGAAAUCCACAGGCUCAACCCGUGAACUGCAUUUGAAACUGUUUCCCUUGAGUGUCGGG
Molecule: ribosomal RNA, 305 nt
Filed under: uncultured bacterium
Lineage: Bacteria
Description: bacterial SSU rRNA
Rfam family: Bacterial small subunit ribosomal RNA
Source: RNAcentral